GACGAACGCUGGCGGCGUGCUUAACACAUGCAAGUCGAACGGAAAGGCCCUGCUUUUGUGGGGUGCUCGAGUGGCGAACGGGGGAGUAACACGUGAGUAACCUGCCCUAGACUUUGGGAUAACUUCACGAAACUGGGGCUAAUACCGUAUAGGAGAUCCUGCUGCAGGGUGGGGGUUGGAAAGUUUCGGCGGUAGGGGAUGGACUCGCGGCUAAUCAGCUUGUUGGUCGGGUAGGGGCUUACCAAGGCUUUGACGGGUAGCCGGCCUGGGAGGGUGACCGGCCACAUUGGGACUGAGAUACGCCGCAGACUCGUACGUUAGGCAGCAGUGGGGAGUAUGGCACAGUGAGCGGAAGUCUGAGGCGGCGACGCCGCGUGCGGGAUGACGGCCUUCGGGUUGUGAACCGCUUUCGCCUGUGACGAAGCGUUAGUGACGGUAAUGAGUAAAGAAGCACCGGCUAACUACGUG
Molecule: ribosomal RNA, 468 nt
Filed under: uncultured bacterium
Lineage: Bacteria
Description: partial 16S ribosomal RNA
Rfam family: Bacterial small subunit ribosomal RNA
Source: RNAcentral